Molecule: ribosomal RNA, 301 nt
Filed under: uncultured bacterium
Lineage: Bacteria
Description: partial 16S ribosomal RNA
Rfam family: Bacterial small subunit ribosomal RNA
Source: RNAcentral
CAGUCGCCGCGGUAAUACGAAGGGGGCUAGCGUUGCUCGGAAUUACUGGGCGUAAAGGGAGCGUAGGCGGGUCGUUUAGUCAGAGGUGAAAUCCCGGGGCUCAACCUCGGAACUGCCUUUGAUACUGGCGACCUUGAGUAUGGGAGAGGUGAGUGGAACUCCGAGUGUAGAGGUGAAAUUCGUAGAUAUUCGGAAGAACACCAGUGGCGAAGGCGACUCACUGGCCCAUUACUGACGCUGAGGCUCGAAAGCGUGGGGAGCAAACAGGAUUAGAUACCCCCGUAGUCCCUGUCUCUUAUAA